UAGAACAUCUCCGUGUUUGGAGGGCUGGUGGUUUGAACAGUUGCAAAGCUGUUCUCUGCAAGAGGAGCGCUCAGGAGGCUGAGGCAGGGGGAUCUCUGUGAGCGUCUCUCCUCUCCCUGUGGCCCAGCAGUUUCUGAUACAGAGGAGAUGCACUGUCAUUUGGGGGAAAGCGUCUUGUUGCACUUGGUUCUUAACUUGUGGCUCACAACCCUGUGCCCAUCACUCCGUGAACUCUGACCUGCACUCUGCUCUGCAAGAGGAUGAAACUCAGCAGGUGGAGACGUUCUGUCAUUAAGAAACCCCAGAGCCUCUGUAGAGAAGACUGGCAGUGUGUCCCACAAGCUCUGGGACAGAGAACCAACAGUGUGACUUACAGGAAGGAGAGCUAAGCAACG
Long non-coding RNA from Mus musculus (house mouse), 395 nucleotides. RefSeq annotates it as RIKEN cDNA 5330439K02 gene. NCBI's taxonomy places the organism in Eukaryota, Metazoa, Chordata, Mammalia, Rodentia, Muridae. The transcript is spliced from 3 exons. The record is from RefSeq and is a predicted model, not a curated record.